RNAcentral lists this long non-coding RNA (1245 nucleotides) under Monodelphis domestica (gray short-tailed opossum). RNAcentral describes it as "lncRNA (ENSMODG00000038403.1)". Lineage: Eukaryota; Metazoa; Chordata; Mammalia; Didelphimorphia; Didelphidae. The record is from RNAcentral.
AAGGAGUGACAGCUUCCUGAGUGCAGUUCUAUUGCGAGUUCUUCAUUCUUUGGAGUGGAGGCUGUUGGAGAAUCUGCUGACUGAACCUGAGACUCUGUUCCUGGUGAGGCUGUUCUAAAAUCUUCUCCUUUCUACCAACAUCUUAUGAAGAAACUGAGGUCUAGGGUGGCUGCAAGGCUCUCUUACGAUCUUGUAAAUACUGAGUAACAAAGGCACCACUUGAACUCUGUCCUCUGAUUUUAGUCUCGGUGCUUUCUCCACCAUUCCAAGAAUGCAGUCAAGGAGGCCUUGCAGAGUGCUAGAGAAUCAGAGAGGCUAAUUCAUCAUGUCUAAGAAGAAGGAUCGUUUAAAACAAGAGGAAAUCUCAUUUGAUGAAUGGAAACUGAGCUAAGUGACUUGCCCAGGAUCACUCAGACAGAAAAUGUCAGAAGCCAAAUUUGAACUCAUGAAGAUGAGUCUUCUUUACUCCAGGUCUGGCACCCAGCCAACUGCGCCACCUACCUGCCAUUUUUCAAGAAUUCUAAUUUUUAACCUUCCAAUCCAAGCACCCUUGUAUCCUUUCCAUCUCCCCAUGAUUGGACAAAAGAUCAAGUUGGCCAGAUUUGAGAGUUCCUCGGUAGCUCAACAAAGCCUCCUGAUCAUUUCCUGUUCCCUACCUGUCUAGAUUCCUCACCUGCAUCUGGAUCAGAAGGUCUAAGGACGACUUUGUGCCUCCAAUGCUAACACCACCCAAUCCUGGUCCUUCUCCUUCCCGUGACACUAGCUGCUUGGUCAGAGAAAAGAGAAGCAGUCCAAAGGCAGAGGGGCUCUAGUCCUCCUCCACCCCAUGUGAUGGAACCAGCUAGAACCCCACGGGAACUGACUGCUAAUUUAAACUAUAAGCAUUUAUACCUUGGAAAUCGGCAGAGGUUGGAUUUAUUGUUUUGUUGUGUGUCUAGAAAGUGAUGGAGAAAUUUUUGACACUGUAGAUUAAAUUUAAAAAUGUGUUGGGCAUGGCUUUUUUCUUUUCUGGAGAGCCAACAAGUAAACUUUUCCUAGCACACCCUGGCCCAGCAGAGUUCUGCAAGUCUGAGCUGCAGUGACAUGCCAGGAUGCCCAGUGGUUGGCUAAAAGGGGAGGAGAGGGACGGGGUCAUAAAAUAGCCCAGAAUAUCUCAGACUCCUCAGGUGGGAAAGGCAGCAGUUUCACUGCUCUCUCAGGACAGUAAGAAAUAAAUAUCCAUCCUCACCCUGCCCUUUCUGGUCC